CCCCCGAUGGUCUAGUUGGAUAUGGCAUCUGACUGUGAAUCAGAGGGUCGCUGGCUUUCCAGCUCGGGGACGA
This 73-nucleotide transfer RNA is filed under the name Aspergillus flavus NRRL3357. RNAcentral's name for it is "tRNA-His (GTG) (tRNA-His-GTG-6-1)". It matches the Rfam family "tRNA". From Rfam's summary of the family: Transfer RNA (tRNA) molecules are approximately 80 nucleotides in length. Lineage: Eukaryota; Fungi; Ascomycota; Eurotiomycetes; Eurotiales; Aspergillaceae. RNAcentral also lists the same sequence under 1 other name. The record is from RNAcentral.